RNAcentral lists this ribosomal RNA (164 nucleotides) under uncultured bacterium. Its description in RNAcentral is "partial 16S rRNA". It matches the Rfam family "Bacterial small subunit ribosomal RNA", at positions 355 to 511 of the family's 1533-position model. The record is from RNAcentral.
UAGGGAAUCUUCCACAAUGGGCGAAAGCCUGAUGGAGCAACGCCGCGUGUGUGAUGAAGGGUUUCGGCUCGUAAAACACUGUUGUAAGAGAAGAAUGACAUUGAGAGUAACUGUUCAAUGUGUGACGGUAUCUUACCUGAAAGGAACGGCUAAAUACGUGCCAG